AUACGGAGGGUGCGAGCGUUAAUCGGAAUUACUGGGCGUAAAGCGUACGUAGGCGGUUUGUUAAGUUAGAUGUGAAAGCCCUGGGCUUAACCUGGGAACUGCAUUUAAAACUGGCAGACUAGAGUUUGAUAGAGGAGAGUGGAAUUUCAGGUGUAGCGGUGAAAUGCGUAGAGAUCUGAAGGAACAUCAGUGGCGAAGGCGACUCUCUGGAUUAAAACUGACGCUGAGGUACGAAAGCGUGGGUAGCAAACAGGAUUAGAUACCCUAGUAGUCC
RNAcentral lists this ribosomal RNA (274 nucleotides) under uncultured bacterium. RNAcentral describes it as "partial 16S ribosomal RNA". It matches the Rfam family "Bacterial small subunit ribosomal RNA", at positions 523 to 796 of the family's 1533-position model. The record is from RNAcentral.